RNAcentral lists this long non-coding RNA (204 nucleotides) under Fukomys damarensis (Damara mole-rat). RNAcentral's name for it is "lncRNA (ENSFDAG00000028254.1)". Lineage: Eukaryota; Metazoa; Chordata; Mammalia; Rodentia; Bathyergidae. The record is from RNAcentral.
AGUUUAUGGACUUCCACCAGUCCCUCUACAGGAAGAACAGUGCUUCCCUAGGAAUAUUUGUUGCAAUCCUCUGUCUUCUCCAAAGCUGAUUCAGUGGCCCAGACAACUCGAUGGCAUAGUAGUCAAGUGCAUCAGUUGGGGAGGGUGUAAACUUUCUGAGAAUAUUUUGAUUGCUUCUAGAGCUGCAGUGCCUCAGGCCACCAG